CGGGACGGGGUGGAGUAAUGUCUGGGAAACGUGCCUGAUGGAGGGGGAUAACUACUGGAACGGUAGCUAAUACCGCAUAACGUCGCAAGACCAAAGAGGGGGACCGUUCGGGCCUCUUGCCAUCGGAUGUGCCCAGAUGGGAUUAGCUAGUAGGUGGGGUAACGGCUCACCUAGGCGACGAUCCCUAGCUGGUCUGAGAGGAUGACCAGCCACACUGGAACUGAGACACGGUCCAG
Molecule: ribosomal RNA, 236 nt
Filed under: uncultured bacterium
Lineage: Bacteria
Description: partial 16S ribosomal RNA
Rfam family: Bacterial small subunit ribosomal RNA
Source: RNAcentral